AGCUACGCAGUGGGCACAGAGCGAACUAUUCUUUCGCCUUUUACUAAAGAAUACCGUGUGCUCGCUGCAAAAAGUAGCAUACGCCAAUUUUUGGAGAGGUCCAACCUGUUUGGUUGGGC
Coffea arabica (coffee) is the source of this 119-nucleotide small nuclear RNA. RefSeq annotates it as U5 spliceosomal RNA. The record is from RefSeq and is a predicted model, not a curated record. Lineage: Eukaryota; Viridiplantae; Streptophyta; Magnoliopsida; Gentianales; Rubiaceae.